RNAcentral lists this long non-coding RNA (203 nucleotides) under Olea europaea (common olive). RNAcentral describes it as "long non-coding RNA (OEUR_LNC009167)". The record is from RNAcentral. Lineage: Eukaryota; Viridiplantae; Streptophyta; Magnoliopsida; Lamiales; Oleaceae.
UUUUGUUGAGGCGUGGGAGUAUAUAUGUUUAGAAAGGUGUUUGGGUACUGUGGGAUUUUCCCUUCAUGAGGCGAGGCAUAAGCCUCACUGUAAACAAAAAAAUGUCAAAAAAUUGUUAAAAUGCAAAAUAAGCACAUAAUACAUCAUACACAAUAUUCAAUAUUAGAAUAUUUAAAAUGGGAAAUUAAGCAAAAGAAAAAUCU